AAAUUGAAGAGUUUGAUCAUGGCUCAGAUUGAACGCUGGCGGCAGGCCUAACACAUGCAAGUCGAACGGUAGCACAGAGAGCUUGCUCUCGGGUGACGAGUGGCGGACGGGUGAGUAAUGUCUGGGAAACUGCCUGAUGGAGGGGGAUAACUACUGGAAACGGUAGCUAAUACCGCAUAAUGUCGCAAGACCAAAGAGGGGGACCUUCGGGCCUCUUGCCAUCGGAUGUGCCCAGAUGGGAUUAGCUAGUAGGUGGGGUAAUGGCUCACCUAGGCGACGAUCCCUAGCUGGUCUGAGAGGAUGACCAGCCACACUGGAACUGAGACACGGUCCAGACUCCUACGGGAGGCAGCAGUGGGGAAUAUUGCACAAUGGGCGCAAGCCUGAUGCAGCCAUGCCGCGUGUAUGAAGAAGGCCUUCGGGUUGUAAAGUACUUUCAGCGAGGAGGAAGGCAUUGUGGCUAAUAACCGCAGUGAUUGACGUUACUCGCAGAAGAAGCACCGGCUAACUCCGUGCCAGCAGCCGCGGUAAUACGGAGGGUGCAAGCGUUAAUCGGAAUUACUGGGCGUAAAGCGCACGCAGGCGGUCUGUUAAGUCAGAUGUGAAAUCCCCGGGCUCAACCUGGGAACUGCAUUUGAAACUGGCAGGCUUGAGUCUUGUAGAGGGGGUAGAAUUCCAGGUGUAGCGGUGAAAUGCGUAGAGAUCUGGAGGAAUACCGGUGGCGAAGGCGGCCCCCUGGACAAAGACUGACGCUCAGGUGCGAAAGCGUGGGGAGCAAACAGGAUUAGAUACCCUGGUAGUCCACGCCGUAAACGAUGUCGACUUGGAGGUUGUGCCCUUGAGGCGUGGCUUCCGGAGCUAACGCGUUAAGUCGACCGCCUGGGGAGUACGGCCGCAAGGUUAAAACUCAAAUGAAUUGACGGGGGCCCGCACAAGCGGUGGAGCAUGUGGUUUAAUUCGAUGCAACGCGAAGAACCUUACCUACUCUUGACAUCCAGAGAACUUGCCAGAGAUGGCUUGGUGCCUUCGGGAACUCUGAGACAGGUGCUGCAUGGCUGUCGUCAGCUCGUGUUGUGAAAUGUUGGGUUAAGUCCCGCAACGAGCGCAACCCUUAUCCUUUGUUGCCAGCGGUCCGGCCGGGAACUCAAAGGAGACUGCCAGUGAUAAACUGGAGGAAGGUGGGGAUAACGUCAAGUCAUCAUGGCCCUUACGAGUAGGGCUACACACGUGCUACAAUGGCGCAUACAAAGAGAAGCGACCUCGCGAGAGCAAGCGGACCUCAUAAAGUGCGUCGUAGUCCGGAUUGGAGUCUGCAACUCGACUCCAUGAAGUCGGAAUCGCUAGUAAUCGUAGAUCAGAAUGCUACGGUGAAUACGUUCCCGGGCCUUGUACACACCGCCCGUCACACCAUGGGAGUGGGUUGCAAAAGAAGUAGGUAGCUUAACCUUCGGGAGGGCGCUUACCACUUUGUGAUUCAUGACUGGGGUGAAGUCGUAACAAGGUAACCGUAGGGGAACCUGCGGUUGGAUCACCUCCUUACCUUAAAGAA
Molecule: ribosomal RNA, 1549 nt
Filed under: Leclercia sp. W17
Lineage: Bacteria; Pseudomonadati; Pseudomonadota; Gammaproteobacteria; Enterobacterales; Enterobacteriaceae
Description: 16S ribosomal RNA
Rfam family: Bacterial small subunit ribosomal RNA
Source: RNAcentral